AAUAUGUACCAUUAUGUGUUCAAUAAAGGGUUACUAAUGAACUCAUUGAUUAUCUCAGUCAAUAUUGAUGGUGUAAACAUCAAUGAAAUACACAAAGAGCUUAAUGAUGUUAGCUCAUAUCUAAAGAUAGGGAUAUUGAAAUGAAAAGCUUGAAAAAGUCAAGUGUUAUCUCGACUUAAUGAUCGAGUAUUUCUUUAAUGGAACUGUAUACUCCAGUUAGCCAAU
Long non-coding RNA from Ipomoea nil (Japanese morning glory), 225 nucleotides. RefSeq lists it as uncharacterized. Lineage: Eukaryota; Viridiplantae; Streptophyta; Magnoliopsida; Solanales; Convolvulaceae. The transcript has 3 exons. The record is from RefSeq and is a predicted model, not a curated record.